UACGUAGGGGGCAAGCGUUGUCCGGAAUUAUUGGGCGUAAAGAGCGCGUAGGCGGUCUGAUAAGUCGGUUGUGAAAGUCGGGGGCUCAACCCUCGGAUGCCGAUCGAUACUGUCAGGCUAGAGUCCGGAAGAGGCGAGUGGAAUUCCUGGUGUAGCGGUGAAAUGCGCAGAUAUCAGGAGGAACACCAAUGGCGAAGGCAGCUCGCUGGGACGGUACUGACGCUGAGACGCGAAAGCGUGGGGAGCAAACAGG
RNAcentral lists this ribosomal RNA (253 nucleotides) under uncultured bacterium. RNAcentral describes it as "partial 16S ribosomal RNA". It matches the Rfam family "Bacterial small subunit ribosomal RNA", at positions 524 to 776 of the family's 1533-position model. The record is from RNAcentral.